Molecule: ribosomal RNA, 254 nt
Filed under: uncultured bacterium
Lineage: Bacteria
Description: partial 16S ribosomal RNA
Rfam family: Bacterial small subunit ribosomal RNA
Source: RNAcentral
UACGGGGGGAGCAAGCGUUGUUCGGAUUUACUGGGCGUAAAGGGCGCGUAGGCGGCCACCGCAAGUCAAUUGUGAAAUCUCCGGGCUUAACUCGGAAAGGUCAACUGAUACUGUGCGGCUAGAGUGCGGAAGGGGCAACUGGAAUUCUCGGUGUAGCGGUGAAAUGCGUAGAUAUCGAGAGGAACACCUGCGGCGAAGGCGGGUUGCUGGGCCGACACUGACGCUGAUGCGCGAAAGCCAGGGGAGCGAACGGG